RNAcentral lists this ribosomal RNA (394 nucleotides) under Pseudomonas sp. RNAcentral describes it as "bacterial SSU rRNA". It matches the Rfam family "Bacterial small subunit ribosomal RNA", at positions 1 to 392 of the family's 1533-position model. Lineage: Bacteria; Pseudomonadati; Pseudomonadota; Gammaproteobacteria; Pseudomonadales; Pseudomonadaceae. The record is from RNAcentral.
AGAUCGAACUGAAGAGUUUGAUCCUGGCUCAGAUUGAACGCUGGCGGCAUGCCUUACACAUGCAAGUCGAACGGCAGCACGGGAGCAAUCCUGGUGGCGAGUGGCGAACGGGUGAGUAACGCAUCGGAACGUGCCCAUUAGUGGGGGAUAGCCCGGCGAAAGCCGGAUUAAUACCGCAUACGACCUACGGGUGAAAGCGGGGGAUCGCAAGACCUCGCGCUAUUGGAGCGGCCGAUGUCAGAUUAGCUUGUUGGUGGGGUAAAAGCCUACCAAGGCGACGAUCUGUAGCUGGUCUGAGAGGACGACCAGCCACACUGGGACUGAGACACGGCCCAGACUCCUACGGGAGGCAGCAGUGGGGAAUUUUGGACAAUGGGCGCAAGCCUGAUCCAGC